RNAcentral lists this ribosomal RNA (223 nucleotides) under uncultured bacterium. Its description in RNAcentral is "partial 16S ribosomal RNA". It matches the Rfam family "Bacterial small subunit ribosomal RNA", at positions 524 to 746 of the family's 1533-position model. The record is from RNAcentral.
UACGUAGGGUGCAAGCGUUGUCCGGAAUUAUUGGGCGUAAAGAGCUCGUAGGCGGUUUGUUGCGUCGGCUGUGAAAUCCCGAGGCUCAACCUCGGGUCUGCAGUCGAUACGAGCAAACUAGAGUGUUGCAGGGGAGACUGGAAUUCCUGGUGUAGCGGUGAAAUGCGCAGAUAUCAGGAGGAACACCGAUGGCGAAGGCAGCUCGCUGGGACGGUACUGACGC